GUCAGCAUAGAAUAGUAGUUUGAGCACUGGACUAUGACUCUGGAGACCAGGGUUCAAAUCCCUGCUUGGCCA
Molecule: transfer RNA, 72 nt
Filed under: Phrynosoma platyrhinos (Desert horned lizard)
Lineage: Eukaryota; Metazoa; Chordata; Lepidosauria; Squamata; Phrynosomatidae
Description: tRNA-OTHER
Source: RNAcentral